This is a non-coding RNA of Apis mellifera (honey bee), 74 nucleotides long. The record is from Rfam. Lineage: Eukaryota; Metazoa; Arthropoda; Insecta; Hymenoptera; Apidae.
AGCUGUGCUGUGUCCUCACUGGGAUCUACAGUAUCCUCCACUCACCCUCUGCAGCAGGGUGGAACAACACAGCU